UACGGGGGGGGCAAGCGUUGUUCGGAAUUACUGGGCGUAAAGGGCUCGUAGGCGGCCAACUAAGUCAGACGUGAAAUCCCUCGGCUUAACCGGGGAACUGCGUCUGAUACUGGAUGGCUUGAGGUUGGGAGAGGGAUGCGGAAUUCCAGGUGUAGCGGUGAAAUGCGUAGAUAUCUGGAGGAACACCGGUGGCGAAGGCAAGGUCCUGGCUCGUAUCUGACGCUGAGGUGCGAAAGCUAGGGGAGCGAACGGG
RNAcentral lists this ribosomal RNA (253 nucleotides) under uncultured bacterium. RNAcentral's name for it is "partial 16S ribosomal RNA". It matches the Rfam family "Bacterial small subunit ribosomal RNA", at positions 524 to 776 of the family's 1533-position model. The record is from RNAcentral.